UACGGAGGGGGCAAGCGUUGUCCGGAAUCAUUGGGCGUAAAGGGCGUGUAGGCGGCUGGGCAAGUCGGAUGUGAAAUCCUGAGGCUCAACCUUGGAAGUGCAAUGGAAACUGGCUGGCUAGAGUCCCGGAGAGGGCGGCGGAAUUCCCGGUGUAGGGGUGAAAUCCGUAGAUAUCGGGAAGAACACCAGUGGCGAAGGCGGCCAGCUGGGCGGGGACUGACGCUGAGACGCGAAAGCGUGGGGAGCAAACAGG
Molecule: ribosomal RNA, 253 nt
Filed under: uncultured bacterium
Lineage: Bacteria
Description: partial 16S ribosomal RNA
Rfam family: Bacterial small subunit ribosomal RNA
Source: RNAcentral